Molecule: ribosomal RNA, 99 nt
Filed under: Anaplasma platys
Lineage: Bacteria; Pseudomonadati; Pseudomonadota; Alphaproteobacteria; Rickettsiales; Anaplasmataceae
Description: partial 16S ribosomal RNA
Source: RNAcentral
CAGAACGAACGCUGGCGGCAAGCUUAACACAUGCAAGUCGAACGGAUUUUUGUCGUAGCUUGCUAUGAUAAAAAUUAGUGGCAGACGGGUGAGUAAUGC